CAUAAAGCUCCCUCUUCUGACUAAUUAUGUGCAUUGGAUGACAUAACUCUACAGAAAGAAAAUAAGAAACUGUCAUUAUGCAACUUGUUCUUAACAACCACUCACUUCGAGUGCCAAAUAUAGUUCAACUACAUAGAUUAAAUGCACCAGUAGGAUACAGUCGCGCAUGCCCACUGAAUCUGUUGCUUUCACUAAAGUCUGAAAUUCACAAUCCGUUGAUUCUUCAUACAGGAUUAACAGAGAGAGAGCGCGAGAGUUAACACAGAGAGUAGAGAGAGAAACUUAUUGAGAGAGAGACGGAAUUAACAGAGAGAAAUUCUCCAGUCCACCGCCGCCUAGCUCCUGGUCGUGGCCUCACUUUUGUGCACCUGCAAUCAACGGAGAAUGAUUAGUACAGUGUCCUUGGAAUCUACUGGGAGAGAUGAUCAGCACCAGGACAACCGUCCGGUGCACGCAUGCACACCCGGACGGCACACAACACACACGCAUGCUCACCCGGCCAGCAAACAAAACACACACCAAAAAAACUCAUUACUGCUGCAAGGAUUGUUGAGAUGAUCCAAACAGGCAUACAUAUCAAUUACAGAAGCCACAUAUUGGAAUUUAAGGCGAGCAUAUUUAAAUACUGUUGGAAGGAUUGUUGAGAUGACAACCCAAACAGGCAUACAUGUCGUCAAUUACAGAAAUCAACUAUUGGAAUGGACAUAUGCAGAACUUAAGCUCGGCUAAGACCUCGGAGGCGGUCAUCCUGGACACGCAUAUCAUGAAUUGAAACCCAAACUUGUCCCAGCAUUCACAUUCCAUUCAGACAAUUCCUGCAACAAACAGUUUGAAGAAACCAGCCAAAUUGAGUAUAGAAAUCAGAUCAGAUAAAUCAUAUCACAGAUGCAAGGCACCGUAUGACCUGCAUGGUGGAAUCAGUGGAUGUGGAAAGUACAACUGAAUGCUCAUCUUUGCUCCAUCUGUAGUGAUGACUGAUGACUGAUGGCCUGAUGAUGGAGUGACGAACUAACAGAGACCAACAGGCAGAAGAAGAACUAACGGACUUGGAGACGACGCGGGAGGUGGUUCCGAUGUGUGGGUGGUGGGCGAAGGCCUCCAGCCAUCCAGUCACAUCCACCUAGGUUUGAUUUGUUCGUUCCCGGUCGCACAUAUGACCGGCGCGGAACACACACACCAUCAGAGGGAUCGAGAGAGAGAGAGAGAGGGAUCGAGAGAGAGAGAGAGAGAGAGAGAGAGAGAGAGAGAGAGAGAGAGCGGGAGAUGGACUCACAUCGAUCCGGUGCUGCAACCCUCCAUUCGCCGCUGUCUGUGUGCCCACGCUCCAUAGCCGCCGCAAAUCUCGAGAGGGAAGGGAGGAAGAGCACUCUCGGAUUUUUGUGAGGUGAGCGAACCGCCAUGUCGUCCCCAGGCCUCCGCCGCCUAAUUCCCUCAAGCCGCCGCCACAUCUUCAUAUACCUACGCUGCUAGGGAGAAGUCGGGCUCGUGAAGUACAUCGGGGAGAGGAUGUGAAAGGGAACUGUUUUUAUUUGAAGACUCUGAAGGCAAAUUUUGUGAAGAUAUAUUGAUUGAGGGAAGAUAAGGGAACCAUCGUGAUAGGCUUCUGAAUACGGGCGACGUUACUACUCCGGCCGGCCGUUCAAAUGCCUCCUCAGUUAAUCUUAUAGAACGGCCGGAGUAGUGGGAAUUAACAGAAAGUAAUGGUGGCUUGAGGUAGCAAGAAAAAUAUGCCAGCGUGGAGAAGAAAAAAUUGUUAGGAUUUAAUUAAUCCUAUUAAUCUCUGCUUUUCCUAAUUGAGGCGAUUGUCUCAUGUCCCUUCAGACGCACCUCUUCGAUUGUCUCUCGUCCUCUACUCGAAACACGUUAUCAGCACGCUCCCGGCGGAGCGAAUCCAUCUGUGUGCCGUUCUCCGUCUACGGCAGCGCUCGUUAAUUGGACGGCCUCAGCCCGGCGGAAACGCUUCCAAGCGGCAGCCUUGCAUCAUGCAUGGCAACGACAUGAAUCUCUCGAUUCUAAAUUAACUCUUCAAGAGCGAUUCCUUGCAGGAAGUGUAGGAGAUAAUGAGGAACAAGGGCAUUGGCAUCCGUCGAUCCAAAUUUCUCUUUAUAGAACGUGAAUCAAGGUACGAUGGCUCACUUCAUUACCAUCUUCGCUGAACUGGUGGUGGCGCUCAUCGUCAUCUUGCCAUCAGCGUCUGGCCUCGACCCCGCUCUGGACUGGGCGACCGGAACCACUGGCUUCGCGUCCCGCGACGGAAACGCGCAUCCGCACAGAUCGGCGGCGCUGGCCCUCUACAGGGUCGCCCUCCGGCAUGAGCGGCUCCUCCGACGCCGCAGUCGUCGAUGUUGAUGCAGUCGCGCCAAGCGCCCCCCGCCGCCCGGCCGCGGCCGCGCCACACCCGUGGCCGGGCCCCUGCGUCAGGCCGUGGCCGCCCUCGCGCGCGCCCGGCCCGUGCCGCCGUGGCGUCCUCGCCGCACACAGGCACUCGCCGGCGCCUCGUGACCUCCGCCUUCACAGCGCUCGGGCAGUGCAUGGCAUCCGCCUACCCGGCGACUCCUCUGACGAUGAAUAGUGCGGUUGGAGUUCCUCCCGUCGCCCGUGAUGCGGGCGACCGGCCGUAGGUGCCUCCGAGGAAGAGCGCGGCUGGAGUCCCUCCGGUCUUGGUCGUGUGGAUUGGGGAUCGAAUCUACUCCUUCUGUGGAUAUCCCUGUCUACUCUUCCUUAUCCAUUCGGUUGAUCAGGCUGCACCUGGC
RNAcentral lists this long non-coding RNA (2753 nucleotides) under Triticum aestivum (bread wheat). Its description in RNAcentral is "long non-coding RNA (TAES_LNC000778)". Lineage: Eukaryota; Viridiplantae; Streptophyta; Magnoliopsida; Poales; Poaceae. The record is from RNAcentral.